RNAcentral lists this microRNA precursor (96 nucleotides) under Pteropus vampyrus (large flying fox). The record is from RNAcentral. Lineage: Eukaryota; Metazoa; Chordata; Mammalia; Chiroptera; Pteropodidae.
UCUCUUUUGGUAUUUAAAAGGUAGAUUUUCCUUCUAUGAUUACGUGGUUGAUGGUUGAUCGUAGAGGAAAAUCCACGUUUUCAGUAUCAAAUGCUG